UCGAGAAUCUUCGGCAAUGGGCGCAAGCCUGACCGAGCGACGCCGCGUGUGUGAUGAAGGCCUUCGGUUGUAAAGCACUGUCGAGGGGGAGUCAAGGCGCAAGCUUGAGAGAUCCCUGGAGGAAGCACGGGCUAAGUUCGUGCCAGCAGCCGCGGUAAGACGAACCGUGCGAACGUUGUUCGGAAUCACUGGGCUUAAAGGGCGCGUAGGCGGAUGAUCAAGUCGGUGGUGAAAUCCUCCCGCUUAACGGGGAGAAUGGCCUUCGAUACUGAUCGUCUCGAGCAAGGUAGGGGUGCGUGGAACUUCCGGUGGAGCGGUGAAAUGCGUAGAGAUCGGAAGGAACGCCGGUGGCGAAAAGCGACGCACUGGACCUUUUCUGACGCUGAGGCGCGAAAGCCAGGGGAGCGAACGGGAUUAGAUACCCCGGUAGUCCUGGCCGUAAACGAUGAGCACUGGACCGGAGGACUGCACAGUUUCCCGGUCGUAGCGAAAGUGUAAGUG
RNAcentral lists this ribosomal RNA (501 nucleotides) under uncultured Planctomycetota bacterium. RNAcentral's name for it is "bacterial SSU rRNA". It matches the Rfam family "Bacterial small subunit ribosomal RNA", at positions 355 to 866 of the family's 1533-position model. Lineage: Bacteria; Pseudomonadati; Planctomycetota. The record is from RNAcentral.